ACUUUUGUCACUAUUAAACAUAAUUUUAAACAUAUAAUAAUAUGAAUAUACAUGAGUUUGACAUAAUAGAUAGACAUACUUUCCUUCAAAAAAAAAAAUAGACAUACUUUUUUCAUUCAAAAAAUGAUAGACAUACUUUUAUCCCAUGAGCAUAGUUCAGUUGGUAGAACAAUGUAUUAUUAUAUGCAGGGGUCGGAGUUCGAAUCCCGGACACUCCACUUAUUCACUUUAUAAUGUAAAUUCUAAAUAAUAAGCUACCUGAACCAAAAAAAGAUAGACAUUAUUUUUAUUUUUUUGUCUAGAUAGAUAGACAUACUUUAAACACGUCUUAAAUAUAAAAGUGAAACAAUUUUUUUUAAAUUAUGAACAUAAACUUAUCAAGAACAAAAAAGUGAAACAAUUUUUUUUAAGAGAAUUGAAACAUUUUAUUUUUAUUUUUAAGGACUAAAAUCAAAUUCUAAAUACUUUUAAGGAAGAAAAAUAUGACAUACACAUUUGUUCGGCUACUAUUGAUUACACGCACUAUAUAUAGGGGGGUAUUGAAAUUUGAAACAUUCAUCCAAAAUAUCCCAUACAGACAAAAGAAACUGAACGAGGCUUUUACAUUUGAAAAUGAGACCUGCUCUUGCUGUGCUUACUCUCCUCUUCCUUUUCUUGGUUUGAAUUUCCUUUUACAGUUUUUUAUUUUUUGUACAUUUAAAAUUUAUACAUUUUUUAUUUUGGUGAAAAUAUUUAUAAUUAUUUAUGGAUAUAGUCUCAAUUAUAAGUAGAGUUUACUUUUUAUAUUCAUUUAAUAAUUAAUGUAUUUGGUCUCUGAGAAGUGAACUUUUGCUUAUAAUUGAGACUGAAUGGUGUACUUUACAAAUGUAAAACUUUUUUAGAUGUGUUUUCAAUCAAAUAAUACAAAAUAGAUAUUUGUAAAGAUAUUUUAUAAACUAAAUUCAAAGAAUGUUAUUUUAGUGUAAUUUGAUUGAAUGAAUGUGUAAAAAAGGUGUACACAUUCGAUGUAUGAAAAUUAUUCUCAUAUUUUUUAGUAAUAUUAUUGGUUAUUUAAAAUGAAAUAUAAAAAAGUAAAAUUUACAUUUCUUGAUCAAAUCCUUCUUUCAUGAAUAAUGUCAAACAAUAAUUUUGUAUAAUUCCAUAAAUAGUAAGUUAUUAUAGAAAGUCAUGAAUUUAAUGCAUUGAAAAUUAAAAUAUAUGAUUUUUUCAAUAAACAUUUUGUUUUUUUUGAACAAAUAAAUAAUUUUUCAAUAAUUUUUUUCAAUAAACAUUUUGUUAAUUAAGGAUCUUUAAAGAAUGUCUUUAGAAGACUUGUUAAGAGGACUCUAAUUUUAUUGGCAUUCUUUUGCUAAAAACAGAAACAUAAUUGAUGUUCCCUAGAAAAAACAUUAGUCUUUUUUGUCAAUAAAUCUAGAGUUUAGAAAUUACGAUGUACUACUAACCACCAUUUUCCUUUUUCUUGUCUUCUCAUUAUAAUCCGGAGAAGUUUGCUGCUACUAUAGAAUCAAGAAAUGAUCUAAAGGAAUAUUGGAAAACUAUUAUGAAAGAUGAAGAGAUGCCGGAAGGAAUUCAAGGGCUUCUUCAACUGAAAUCUGAAAUCGAACCUAUGAAGAACUCCAAGGCACAAGAACAACUUGCCAAAGGUAAGUGCGAUGAGCAUCCCGCAACAAACACACUAAAUAUCAUAAAAAAAAAGGUGGUCACAGAAGAAUUUCAACCAAGACCCACAAUUUCAGCUUAUGGUGAUGACAAGAUUGAUAUAAAGGUAACUGAGAAACAUAUAAAAGAUUUUGAGCCAAGGCCAAGUGGCACAAGGUAUGACGGUGAUGGUUAUAAAAGCGAGAAGCUACGAGUGUACUCUGAGUUUGAACCUAGGCCAAGUGCUACAAAGUAUGAUGGUGAUGGUGAAGGUUAUAAGACUAUUAAACUACCAGGGAAUGACGAAUUUGAACCCAUACCAAGUGUUACAAGGUAUGAUGGUGAUGGUUAUAAGAGUAUGAAACUAUCGGGGAAUGAUGAGUUUGAACCCAGACCAAGUGUUACAAGGUAUGACGGUGACGGUUAUCAGAGUACAAAACUAUCGGUGAAUAAUGAGUUUGAACCUAUACCAAGUGUUACAAAGUAUGGCGGUGAUGGUUAUAAGAAUACCAAAUUAUCGGUGAAUAGUGAGUUUGAACCCAUACCAAGUGUUACAAGUUAUGGCAGUGAUGGCUAUAAGAGUAUGAAACUACCGGUUAAUGACGAGUUUGAACCCAGACCAAGUGCUACAAAGUAUGAUGGUGAUGGUUAUCAGAGUACAAAACUAUCGGUGAACAGUGAGUUUGAACCCAUACCAAGUGUUACAAGUUAUGGCAGUGAUGGCUAUAAGAGUAUGAAACUACCGGUUAACGACGAGUUUGAACCCAGACCAAGUGCUACAAGGUAUGACAGUGAUGAUUAUAGAAAAAUGAAACUACCGAUGAACGACGAAUUUGAACCUAGACCAAGCGUUAAAAAGUAUGAUGGUGAUAAUAACAAAAGCAAGAAGCUACAUGUGAACGACGAGUUUGAACCUAGGCCAAGUGCCACAAAGUAUAAUGACUAAAUAAAAUUAAGAAUGUAGCUGCCUUUAAAGGAUAUAAUGUGCUAUAAGUGUGUCCAAUAAUAACUCUGGUGUGAUGUAUUAUGGUCUUUGAAUAAAUAAUGUAAAAUAUUCGGUGAUU
Molecule: long non-coding RNA, 2702 nt
Filed under: Medicago truncatula (barrel medic)
Lineage: Eukaryota; Viridiplantae; Streptophyta; Magnoliopsida; Fabales; Fabaceae
Description: long non-coding RNA (MTRU_LNC001989)
Source: RNAcentral